UCUCGCCUUCGGGCGGGGAUCAGUGGCGGACGGCUGAGUAACACGUGGGUGACCUGCCCCGGAGCGGGGGAUAACUGCCCGAAAGGGUGGCUAAUACCGCAGACAUCGCGGAUUCGGUUUCGUGAUUGAACCUUUUGGGUUCUGGGAGGGGCCCGCGGCCGAUUAGCUAGUUGGUGGGGUAACGGCCCACCAAGGCGACGAUCGGUAGCUGGUCUGAGAGGAUGAUCAGCCACACUGGGACUGACACACGGCCCAGACUCCUACGGGAGGCAGCAGUAGGGAAUCUUGCACAAUGGACGAAAGUCUGAUGCAGCGACGCCGCGUGAGUGAUGAAGGCCUUCGGG
This 344-nucleotide ribosomal RNA is filed under the name uncultured bacterium. RNAcentral describes it as "bacterial SSU rRNA". It matches the Rfam family "Bacterial small subunit ribosomal RNA", at positions 72 to 422 of the family's 1533-position model. The record is from RNAcentral.